GUAAUCGCUGUAACACGCAAGUGUUGCUGAGGAAAGUCCAUGCACGCACGGUUCUGAGAUGACCGUAGUGAUCGUGUUUCGCGAAUAAAUAAGCGGAAGUAGCUGAAAUGCUAACGGCGGAAGGAAAACCUAAGUCUUAGGAUAUGGUUGACACUUCAUGAAAGUGCCACAGUGACGAAGUCUGCUUGGAAACUUGUAGAGUGGAACGAGGUAAACCCCACGAGUGUGCAACCCAAAUUAUGGUAGGGGCGUCGUAUCGAAGGAAUUGAACGGAGAUAUGGAUCCAUCGUAUUUACACGAUGGGUAGAUAGAUGAUUACUACCCGGCGUACGAGGCUUUGGCCGCUUGAGUACUAGGGCACAAAACAUGGCUUAUA
This 376-nucleotide RNase P RNA is filed under the name Kurthia senegalensis. Its description in RNAcentral is "Bacterial RNase P class B". It matches the Rfam family "Bacterial RNase P class B". Rfam says of the family: Ribonuclease P (RNase P) is a ubiquitous endoribonuclease, found in archaea, bacteria and eukarya as well as chloroplasts and mitochondria. The record is from RNAcentral. Lineage: Bacteria; Bacillati; Bacillota; Bacilli; Caryophanales; Caryophanaceae.